AAAGACUUCUUCAUACCUCAUGGAUGCCCAUGUCUCCAGAUUUCUAACACUAGGUUUUCCAGGGUCUUUUGCCACUUCUCUUGGCAGCCCACAGAGAUGUACUUUCUGGCUAUACUCCACAUCUCCCAGGGGAGGACUCCUGAUAUUGAAAGGAAAAGAGAACUGGUAAAUGUUCUGGAAAACUGGCCUUAAAAUGUUGGGAGAAGAUACAGAGAGGACAGGUAAUUCAAAUAUAGGGUAAUUGAAUUUCUUUGUUAGCAGUGAGCUUUAUACACAAAUUUACCAUACAUUUGAUAGGAAAUUUGCUUUGUGUGAUAGCAUUUUCCAUUGAGGAAAAAGAGUUCUUGGGGACAUCUGCUGGCCAUAUAUGUAACGCCUCCAAAGCACUGUAAGAGGCACAGUAGGGAGAGGGUGGUGCAGUUAGACCGUGAGACCAGAAAGGGGCCCACACCUACAUGCAACAUUGUCUGAACUAAACAGAAGAGAGGACAUUUGGAAAGAAUAGCCGCAUCCCAAAUCUAGACAAAAGGGGAAGUUUUAUGAGUUGCCCGUACUCUUUCUCUUUUGCUUCUGUGAAUGUUUACAGAAAAUUAUAAUCCUGUUCUGUAUUUUGAGAGAGAAUGUAAACUACCAGCUCCCAACAUGUCAUAGCCACCAUUUGCCACUGCCAGCCACCUAUGGAUUUCCUAUAAGCAGGGUUCAUUCAUUGUGAAAAUUAGGUAAUUGAAACAAUCUAUCUGCUUCAGACUGCUGGCUUUAGGGGUGGUCCUUGCCUGUUGCCAUGACAAGUAAUUUGCAGAGUGAGAUUUUAGCCACAAUAACUCAUUAAACAGUAUGUUGUUGUACUGUUCUGUUUAUCAGGAAGACAGGAAUGUUUUAAAGAUAAAAUUAUUUAUUUAUUUUUAUUGGCUACUGGAGAUGAUAAAGCAACCUCCUGCCAAUUAGUAUUCUAGCCAGCCCCCUUUUUUCGGCAUUAUGAUCAUCUCCCUUGCUGCAAAGUAAGAUAUGAUAAAAGAGUGCAACUCUGUUGGUGGCGGUCAUCUGGAAUUCCUCAGUCAUGCCUUCUGGAUGGCAGGAUAUUGAUUAUAGUGCAGGUCUUGAAGGGAUGAAAUCAGAGCAGGUGGGAAAUCCAUAGCUGUGUUGCUUUGCAAAUUUGCAUGUGGCUUCUU
RNAcentral lists this long non-coding RNA (1169 nucleotides) under Felis catus (domestic cat). RNAcentral describes it as "lncRNA (ENSFCAG00000052895.1)". The record is from RNAcentral. Lineage: Eukaryota; Metazoa; Chordata; Mammalia; Carnivora; Felidae.